RNAcentral lists this non-coding RNA (31 nucleotides) under Mus musculus (house mouse). The record is from RNAcentral. Lineage: Eukaryota; Metazoa; Chordata; Mammalia; Rodentia; Muridae.
UGGAAAGUAACUACUUUUUCCUUUUGCUUGG